GACGAACGCUGGCGGCGUGCUUAACACAUGCAAGUCGAACGGUGAACCUCUUCGGAGGGGAUCAGUGGCGAACGGGUGAGUAACACGUGGGCAACCUGCCCCCGGCUCUGGGAUAACUCCAAGAAAUUGGGGCUAAUACCGGAUGUUCACCGCUUCCCGCAUGGGUGGUGGUGGAAAGGGUUUCCGGCUGGGGAUGGGCCCGCGGCCUAUCAGCUUGUUGGUGGGGUAGUGGCCUACCAAGGCGACGACGGGUAGCCGGCCUGAGGGGGUGACCGGCCACCUGGGGCAGGAGACCGGCCCCGGACCCCACGGGGGGCAAGGGGGGGGAAAUUUGGGGAAGGGGGGGGAGGCCGGACGCGGCGGCGCGGGGGGGGGGAGGAGGGCUUGGGGGUUGUAAACCUCUUGCAGCGGGGAAGAAGCGCAGGUGACGUUACCUAAAAAAAAAGCCCCGGCCAACUCCGUG
RNAcentral lists this ribosomal RNA (463 nucleotides) under uncultured bacterium. Its description in RNAcentral is "partial 16S ribosomal RNA". It matches the Rfam family "Bacterial small subunit ribosomal RNA", at positions 28 to 507 of the family's 1533-position model. The record is from RNAcentral.